GACAACUGUUGGAGAUGAUGAGUAUUGAAUGGAGAAACUCGGGGCACGAGAAAUGGGGAUACACGUGAAUGAACUUUCCCAACACCUUAUAAUUCCACUGGUGGAAAUCAUGUAGCUCCCCCUGCGCACAUGAAGUCGCAUGUGAACCAAGGACACAACACAUGG
Molecule: long non-coding RNA, 165 nt
Organism: Papaver somniferum (opium poppy)
Lineage: Eukaryota; Viridiplantae; Streptophyta; Magnoliopsida; Ranunculales; Papaveraceae
Exons: 3
Source: RefSeq, a predicted model, not a curated record